UACGGGGGGGGCAAGCGUUGUUCGGAAUUACUGGGCGUAAAGGGCUCGUAGGUGGCCAACUAAGUCAGACGUGAAAUCCCUCGGCUUAACCGGGGAACUGCGUCUGAUACUGGAUGGCUUGAGUUCGGGAGAGGGAUGCGGAAUUCCAGGUGUAGCGGUGAAAUGCGUAGAUAUCUGGAGGAACACCGGUGGCGAAGGCGGCAUCCUGGACCGACACUGACACUGGGGAGCGAAAGCCAGGGGAGCAAACGGG
Molecule: ribosomal RNA, 253 nt
Filed under: uncultured bacterium
Lineage: Bacteria
Description: partial 16S ribosomal RNA
Rfam family: Bacterial small subunit ribosomal RNA
Source: RNAcentral